This 240-nucleotide unclassified non-coding RNA is filed under the name soil metagenome. Its description in RNAcentral is "partial contains 5.8S ribosomal RNA, internal transcribed spacer 2, and large subunit ribosomal RNA". The record is from RNAcentral.
AACGGUCUAUACCUGCGGUACCUGCGGAAGGAUCAUUAAUGAGAAACUGCCCCUCGCGGGUAGAUCUCCCACCCUUUGUAAACUUACCUUUGUUGCUUUGGCAGGCCCGUCUCCGGACCGCCGGCUUCGGCUGGCCAGUGCCUGCCAGAGGAUUCUAAAACUCUGUCUGUCAGUGUUGUCUGAGUCUAUAUACAAUCGUUAAAACUUUUAACAAUGGAUCUCUAGAUCGGAAGAGCACAC